CGCAGCCUGACGGAGCAAGACCGCGUGCGGGAUGCGGCUAAUGGGUUGUACCCCGCUUUUCUCUGGGAAGAUGAUGACGGUACCUGAGGAAUCAGCCUCGGCUAACUCCGUGCCAGCAGCCGCGGUAAUACGGAGGAGGCAAGCGUUAUCCGGAAUUAUUGGGCGUAAAGCGUCCGCAGGGGGCACAUCAAGUCUGCUGUUAAAGGCCGGAGCUUAACUCCGGUAGAGCAGUGGAAACUGGUGUGCUAGAGGGCGACAGGGGUAGAGGGAAUUCCCAGUGUAGCGGUGAAAUGCGUAGAGAUUGGGAAGAACACCGGUGGCGAAAGCGCUCUACUGGGUCGCACCUGACCCUCAGGGACGAAAGCUAAGGGAGCG
This 375-nucleotide ribosomal RNA is filed under the name uncultured cyanobacterium. Its description in RNAcentral is "bacterial SSU rRNA". It matches the Rfam family "Bacterial small subunit ribosomal RNA", at positions 376 to 770 of the family's 1533-position model. The record is from RNAcentral. Lineage: Bacteria; Bacillati; Cyanobacteriota.